Molecule: ribosomal RNA, 301 nt
Filed under: uncultured bacterium
Lineage: Bacteria
Description: partial 16S ribosomal RNA
Rfam family: Bacterial small subunit ribosomal RNA
Source: RNAcentral
CAGUAGCCACGGGAAUACGAAGGGGGCUAGCGUUGCUCGGAAUCACUGGGCGUAAAGGGUGCGUAGGCGGGUUUUUAAGUCAGAGGUGAAAUCCUGGAGCUCAACUCCAGAACUGCCUUUGAUACUGAAAGUCUUGAGUAUGGGAGAGGUGAGUGGAACUGCGAGUGUAGAGGUGAAAUUCGUAGAUAUUCGCAAGAACACCAGUGGCGAAGGCGGCUCACUGGCCCAUAACUGACGCUGAGGUGCGAAAGCGUGGGGAGCAAACAGGAUUAGAUACCCGAGUAGUCCCUGUCUCUUAUAC